This is a long non-coding RNA of Gallus gallus (chicken), 11974 nucleotides long. RefSeq lists it as uncharacterized. NCBI's taxonomy places the organism in Eukaryota, Metazoa, Chordata, Aves, Galliformes, Phasianidae. The record is from RefSeq and is a predicted model, not a curated record. The transcript has 8 exons.
GACUGAAAGCGCUUAGGCCAUCAUGCAAAAGGCGGGGGCCGCUUGGGGGUGCGCAUACGGGAAGGGAAGGCGAGAUACGCCUAGGAAAAGUCAAGAGCCAAAAAAUGAGAAACUCUGGAACAAGCAACUUUUGAAUGAACAGAGGGACCAAUUUCUUUUAAAGCUCUCUUCUGUUGUAAACGUGGAGAUCCAUGUGAUGAAGAAUAAGUGUAAUUCAAUGAAGCAAGGAUGGUUCUCAUACUGAUGGGAGAUUUCAACCACCCAGAUAUCCACUGGCAAGACAACGUGGUGAGCUGCAAGUGAUCCAGGAGACUCCUAAAGUCUAUUGACAAGAACUUUCUGAUUCAGAUCUUGGACAGAACAACAAAAGCCAUCUCCCAAGUAACAGAAAGACUAGAUAAACUGGAUGACAGAUAAAAUGGAGAAGAAACAGGAUGGUAUGUUGGAGGAAUUGUCUAUUGAUUAAUUGUGAUGAACCCGUGGCAGGAUCAGAAGACCUGGAUGAAGACCAGGAUGAUCAGAAAGAAUCUGCUGAAGGAGCUGAUCAAACUGAUUAAAAUCUCAGCUUUCAAAGGCAAAUGUCUUCCUGCUUGAGCAAAUGACAGUAGUAAGUCUAUGUCACAUGCUGCCUUGUGGAGUUACCUACGUGAGCAUGGAGAAGACAUAAAGAAGUGGCAUAAAAAACUCACUCCUGCACUACAAGCACAAGUGAGAGAAUUGCAAAACAGAUCAACCAUCACUGAAAUUGCUCCAGUUACUGCAGGUAACCAGUAGAAGUGCCCUGCCCUCAGUCGUGGGGGGAAGGGAUAGUAGAGUUUAUUGUACUGUGUGGGUUCAGUGUCCUGGCACAUCAGACCCACAGAAGUAUAAGGCACUAGUAGACACUGGUAUGCAGUGCACUCUGAUGCCCUUGAGUCAUAAAGGGACAGAAUCAAUUUAUAUUUCUGGAGUGACUAGGGGCUCUCAAGAAUUGUCUGUUUUGGAGGCAGAAAUAAGCCUCACUGGUAAGGACUGGCAGGGAGUGAUAAGCAAAACUCACCUUUUAACAACUCCAUAUGGUGGUGCAUAAAGCCAGUGGCGAGUGGAGGUUGAUGGUAGACUACCGUGGCCUGAAUGAAGUCACACCUCCUCUGAGUCCUGCUGCGCUGGAUGUGUUAGAACUCCAGUAUGAACUGGAGUCAAAAGCAGCCAAGUGGUAUGCCACCACUGACAUUGCUAAUGCCUUCUUUUCCAUUCCAUUGGGCACAGAAUGCAGGCUACAGUUUGUUUUCAUCUAGAGGGACAUCCAGUAUACCUGGAACCGUUUGCCCCAGGGGUGGAAACACAGCCCAAUCAUUUGCCACGGUCAGUCCAAAUUGCAUUGGAACAGGGUGGUGCUCCCAAGCACCUGCAGUAUGUUGAUGAUGUUGUGUGGGGCGAUACAGCGGAGGAAGUUUUCAAGAAAGGAGAGCGAAUAAUCCAAAUUAUUGCUGGUUUUGCUCUUAAGUGAAACAAAGUGAAAGGACUUGCCCAGGAAAUACAGUUCCUACGAGUAAAGUGGUAAGAUGGGCAUCAUCAUAUCCCAGCAGAUGUGAUCAACAAAAUCACUGCUAUGUCUGCACCCACUAGCAAGAAAGAGCCACAGUCUUUUCUGGGUGUAGUGGGCUUUUGGAGAAUGCAUGUUCCAAAGUACAGUCUCACUGUUAGCCCCCUUUAUCAGGUGAUGCGGAAGAAGAACCAUUUUACAUAGGGCCCUGAGCAGCAGUGUGCUUUUGAGCAAAGUGAACAGGAGAUAGCCCGUGCCGUGGCCUUGGGGCCCGUGCAGAUGAGACAGGAUGUAAAGAACAUCCUCUGCACUGCUUCUGGAGACAAAGGUCCCACUUGGAGUCUGUGUCAAAGAGCUUGGACUGGCAACACAAGGGUGAAUUAUUUCUAGCUCAGUGGACCCAUGAGACCGCGGACCAUCAAGGAGGAGAUGCAGUGUAUAAGUGGGCUGGAGACCAAGGGGUGGAGUUAACUAUUGCGCAGGUUAUUUAUGACUGUGAAACAUGUGCCACAAUUAAACAAGCCAAGGGGAUGAAGCCUCUGUGAGGGGAAGGGCGAAGGCAAAAGUGUAAAUAUGGGGAGGCAUGGCAGGUUGAUUAUAUCACCUUGCCACGAUCUCGUGAUCGUAAGCAAUAUGUACUUACCAUGGUGGAGGCAACUACUGGGUGGCUUGAAACAUAUCCAGCACCCCAUACCCCAUACUGCCUGGAACAGCAUAUUAUGUCUCAAGAAACAAGUCCUGUGGUGACAUGGCACUCCAGAAAGAAUUGAGUCCAAUAAUGGGACUCACUUCAAAAAUUCUCUUGUAAAUACUUGGGCCAAAGAUCAUGGCAUUGAGUGGAUGUAUCGUAUCCCCUACCAUGCACCAGCUUCUGGUAAAAUUGAAUGGUAUAGUGUGUUGUUAAAAACUAAGUGUUGUGGUUCUGUGAUUUUUUUGUUGUUGUUGUUGUCGGUAUUCCACAUCAGAACAUCAUGUAAAACAGUGGGAGUGAAAGACUUAAUGUUCUGGUUCUGUGGACUGCCCUUUUUGGGAAUUUUGGGCUCUCGGAUGGGAGGGGAGGAGAGGCAUUCUCAGAGGACCUGGUGAGCAGAGGAAGAAAGGUGGAGCUCCUGGCAGAACACCUUCCUCCCUCUCGGUUUGCCGCGGAGAAAAGCACGUGCUUCCCUGCAGUGUACAAGUAUAAGAUCUUGUAUUUUGGGACACUCUUUCCUCUCCCAUUUGUUUGAUUUUGUUGGAUUUAGUAAAUUACUGUUCCUCCACAGAUCGUUGCCGUUUUUGGGGGUUUUUUUUGUUUGUUUGUUUGUUAGACCCAUCUGCUAUCUCCCUACUCUUCCCCCUCUCCUGGAGCGCCCACAAUGCGCCCUGCCUCACGAGCUGGGGUCAGCUGCGCUGCGCUGUUAAAAGGUAUUCCACAUCUUAACAUCAUGUAAAGCAAUGGGAGUUAAACGGUUAAUGUUGUGGUUCCGUGGACUGCCAUUUUUGGGUGUUUGGUUCUUAGAGGCAAGGGGAGGAGCAGCAUUCCCCUGAGAAAGAAAGGUGGAGCUCCUGGUAGGUCAGUCUGCCUCUCUCUUGCUCGCUCUUUCUUUGUGGCAGUGAAGCACGUGGUCCCCCUGCAUUCUAUAGAGUAAGGCCUUGGUUUUGGACACUCUCUCAUUUUGUUUGAUUUGGCCUCAAUUCCAAUUGUACUGUGUUGUAUUGUAUUAUCUUGCAUUCUGAGAUCAUAUUUAGUAAAUUAACAUUCCUCCUCAGAUUGUUGCCACUGCUCUGUUUUUUUGUUUGUUUUCUGUUUUUUUUUUUUUUUUGGUUUUUUUUUUUUUUUUAGAUCCAUCUACUAUCUUCCUACCCUUUUCACCUUUCAUCUAGAGAUAACUCUGUGACAGUGAAGGAUGUUAAAAAAAUGGCAAGAAGGGAUUCUACGAGUAUAAAGGCUGGAAGAGACAGGCUAAAGGGAGUAUACCUCCUCUGCUAAAUGGAAGAGAAGUGGCUACGAGAGAUACAGAGAAGCCUAAAGUACUCAGAAACACUAAAAGAAUAUGAAUUGUAACAUGUCCUGUUUGUUCUGAUGAUGAAACUGAAUGAGAUCAACCCCUCCUAUGAAAAAGGCCAACCUGCAUUUUGGGGUGGACAAAGAGGCUAUGAAACCCUAUGGGACCUGAAUGAAAGACCUAGAGAUGGGAGACCCAGUGCCGUGAAGAUGCUACAGACAAUGUGGGCCUCCUUGUUUAGGAUCCAAAUUAUGGGCACCAGUAAUCAGGGAAAUAUGUUUCUCUGGAACACCGAGGUUGAUCAAGAUCUCUCAACCUUUUUGACAGUAUUGAGCAGAAGAUUUCUGUUCAGGAAAGAGAGGAAAAGAAGAGAGCUUGCAGUGAGUAAGAGACUAGAAGCUUCUUUCCUGAAUGGUUUAAUGGUAUGAAUUUCAACUACACUUGCAGGAAGAAGUCCAUCACUUCGCCAGGGUGGAAGAGCAGAAAUGUAUUCUGCUUCCUGUUGCACAGGAGAGCAAACAUUUGUUUGCCAAGACUUUUUAAGUGUUUAAGGUAAGUCAUUAGAAAGUUAAAGCAUGCAAAUAGGGAAAAUGAGUAACAAGUCAAGUUUCUUAGAUUAACAUAGCAAUUUAGAGGAAUAAUUAUAUGAAGUUGUGGUGGGUUUUACAAAUAAGCUUUUGAUAGCAGUCAUAGCAGUAUUGCAACUUCCAAUGUAGGAACUGAUGCCUGGAUGUUUAAGCAGUUGCAGAAAUGAUCCACAAAACUGUUCAGUCCAGGAAUGAAAAAAAUGGCUCAGAGUAAAAAGGUUAGAAUAAGUGUUUUCUAUUACUAAAAGCAUUAAAUGUCUGGAAUACAGUAUGAGACCUUGGUGAUUCUGUGAGUUUUGCAAGUAGAUGGUAUAGGGUGCUGAAGUUAAUUAACAUAGUAGAAAAUCAACGUUAGAACCAGAUAAGUAUCUAUCAACUUAGUCCUGGGGGAAAUUAAAGGCAUCGUUAAGUACAUCAGCCUGGUCAAAAUUCCAUAAUUUUCCCCGUAAACUUAAACUUAAUGGAUUUAAAAAUCAUUAUAGCCAUCUCUAGUCCUUCUUUUCCUGUUCUUGGAAGUCUGCAGCAAUUAUUGAACAUAAAAAGGAACUAUGAUUUUCUGGGGUAGAUACAGUCUGUGCUGGCAAUUGAGUAGGACAGCAUCCACACAGGUCAAGCCAAACUUUAAAAUAUUCUUUUUUUUAAUCACGUUAUGCCUUUAGAUAAGAGUGCAGCGGGAAGAAGUCACAUUUCUUACAAAUGGUACUGCAGAUUAUAGCUAUAGGUAAUGUAGUUCGAUCUGUAAAGUCUUAAGGUUUUGUAGAGAUGUAGACUGUUCUCUGAAUGAACACUUUUCAUUCUUUCAGCUCAUCACUCUGCUACAUAAAAGAUCUUUAGCUGGAAAGUAUGAAUGUGUUAAGGGUCACUCCCACUCUAGAAAUUCUGUUUUCUCUAAGAAUACAUCUUUUAAUACUAAGGCCUUAAAUAUUUUAGGAUUUAUUUCCUGUGUUUAUAGAUGUAGUGUAUAAAGUGUAUUUGUAUAUUUAUACUUAAUUGUAUAUUUAUAUUAAUUGUAUAUUUAUAUAAUAUAUUAAUUGUAUAUUUAUAUAUACAGUCCCGGAUAUGUAGGCUAUAUGUCUCGCUAUAACUCCUGUUAGAACAAGCCAAUUUAAUCCCUCCUUAGGAGAAAGGCAAUUGCUUUUCCUCUCAAAGCUAGGAAAACAGAGGCAAGUAAUCUCAGAGAAAGAAGUCAGAAAUUAUUCAGACUGCUGCAGAUUUAUCCUUUAAACACAGUCUUUGUGAGGAAGAGCUGUCCUCACAAUUGGACAGGACAAAAAUGGAACAUAGGUGGAAUAAACUUCUUACAGAAAAGAUUACACAGAUAAGACUGGGAGGAAUUAUGCAAUAUCUCUGGCUUGAGUGGGCAGAAUGAGUGACUUCUUGACUGUGAGAAUAGGAAACCUGAGAAAGCAGAAGGAAUAUCUGAAACCUUAAUCUGAGGGAGGGUAGGGAAGUAAGAGUUGCAGCUGUGACUGUCACAUAGACUCUCCAGAGUUAGGUGCAGUUACGCCUACGCCCUUCUGUUGGUAUUCCUGAAACACAUAGAUUCCACCAUUUCUUGCUAGGCUAAGUAUCUUCUGUUUCUCAGUGUCAUUUGACCACUGGACACAGCUUAUCCUCUGAAACUUGUUCUUUUAUUUUCAUUCCUCACAGGGUCAGUUGGAUUUUGAUCAGAAACAAAACAGUAGAGGUGGUACACACAAUAGACUGCAAUCAGAAGGGCUCACUGCCCACAUCUGGGUUACCUCCAUCUUCUUUCUGUUAGCCUAUUCUCUACUCCUAUCUGUUUCUGGAUCCUUCAGUUGCUCCAAAACAGUUAAAAACAAACCAUAUGUAAUAUAAUGACACAUGUAAUCUGUCAGGUCAGCCCUAAGACAUUUUUGCUGUUUAACUUUCCCAGAGCCAUAAAAACCCUUCCAAUUUAUUGGAUCAUGCCAACUUCACCAUAGUAUUCUUGGCUGUAACUAAAAAUUUGUAUCUGUCCAUCUUUUUUUUUCUUUUCUUUUUUUCUUUUUUUUUUUCCUGGGUCUCUUUUGACUGUAAUCUAUCCAGAUGGCCAGAUUGUGUCUGACCUUGUUCUAGCUGCUGGAGCAAAUCAAUACACUGUUAUCCUCUCCCUUCCUAAACCACUGAAUUGUAAACACCUUCCGUGUUCCUCCUUACUGUUAUUUGAUACCUGUAAGACCACUGUACUUGUGAGACCAUAAACAGCCCACUGCCCAGUUGAUGUAAUGCCUUCCAGCUUAAGAACUUCUAUCCUAGGAACUAGGUCUGUGAACAGGGAAUAGUAUUCUUGGAGUGACAGAUGACUUUUUUGAAGUACUUGUGAGUACCUAAGAACCAGAGACAUCCUGAAUGUACCAUCCAAAGUUUUCUGACUCAGGUGGUUAGAAGGGAUCUCAUGAGUUGAUCUUGUCCACUUACCUGCUAUAAGAAUGUCCACUUACAAUGGAUUGCUCAGGACCUUGUCUGGUUAAGUAAUUAACAUCUUCAGGAAUGAAUAGUCUAGAACAUUUCUAGGCAAACUCUUUCUGUGUUUUACCAUAUUCAUAGUAAAAAAUACUUUGCAUAUAUCUAAGCAGUUAUUUCUCAUGUUUCAGCUUGUGUCCAUUUCCUUCCAUCCUUCUACAGUGGAGUCUUGUUUCAUCUUCUUGGUACCCUCUGCCCAGGUAGUAGUGGACAGCAGUAAGAUCGCCCCUUAUUCUUCUCUUUUUGAGGCUGAACAAACCCAGUGCCAUCACCUCUCCACGUAUGUCAUGUGAUUAAUCUCCUGACUAACCUCGUGACUCAGUUUGGCCAGGUCUCCACAGUACUGGGAAAUGUACAGCUACCUAUAUCCAACACCUGAGAGAUCACAAGUGCUGAAUAAAAGAAAGUAAUCACUUAGCUCAACCUGCUGUGUACAUCCAGAUCAUACAGCACAGUAGGAUGUUGUCUGCCUUUGCCACAAGGGUGCACUGCUAGCUUAAAUUGAACUUGCUAUCACCUGUCACAACUCCCUUUGCCUCCAGUUCUUUUUAUACUAAAUUGCCUUCUAGACAACUUGCAUAGUUUUGUGUGUCCGUUCCAUUCCCAGGGCUUUGCCUAUGUUUAUGAUAAAAACUAGAAUAAUUCCUCUCAGUCAGAACUGGAAAAAAAUGGGAGAGCUACAAGACAAAAAUAAUAAUAAUAAUAAUUGAGUUCAUAUGGUGCUUUAUCAGCUACUUCUAAGUCAUAAUUCUUAAGACCUAGAUGUCAGCUAGCAAGUAAGAUGUAGCAUCCCUUCAAUAAAGUUACCAGAAAUAAACAAUUAAUAAGCUACUUCAAUGAUAUUUCAAUGGUGUCAAUCUAAUAACCGCUUAAUUAUUGUCUACUUCAAUAGAAAAUUAUUAGCAUUGCAUAAACCUUUGACUGAAGUUGUUGAAUAGCCCUUCCUAAGCAAUCACACAAACAAUUAGAAACUUAUUUGGCAUCUAUUUGUUUGACACAAAAAUACUGAAUUUAAGCACCAACCUAAGUCAGUACUUACUCCAGGAGUUACUGAGCUAAAACUUGAAUUUACACUUCUGGAAAUAAUAUUUAUUAAUAUCUACGAGGAGGUACCUAACUUACCAGGUAAGCAGUAAAGUCUGAGAUUCCCUGAAUUGCUUGUUAAAGACAACAAGACCUUUAAGUGCCUUGAAUGGAAAGUACAACCCUUACUGCAUUGUUUGACAGGGAACUAUCCAUUACAUUCAACCACCAGUUUUCACCCUAGACUUUUAUUUGCCACCACAACUUAGAUUUCUUAAAAAAUGCUCCCUAGUAAAACACGUAAGCUUAUCCUACGCUCGUGAUUUUUAAACGGAGACAAUUCUUUUGUUCUCAUCUCCUACAUAAAAAUAUCAGAUCAAUACACAUUUUUUCUUACAAUUGUUAUUAAUUUUGUUUAUUACAGCUUCUCAUAAAAGAAGCCCUCCAGCUCUUGAAUUAGAAUAAAUUUUCUACACUUUCAGAGAAUAAAAGGCGGAUGCAUCAAAAGACUGGACUUUGAAAAAAGUACACAUUAGCUCCAGUAGGAAGCUGAGUCAUUUACUAGGUGGCAGUUCCUGAACACAAUUUCACAAAGAGAUCUGAGGGGCAAGCAAAGCAGAUAUCCGUGCAACAGACAUCUGUUGCCCCUCCUUUGUCUCACUGCUCUAGGGCAGGCAACAGCAGGAAUGGAAUUUUCACACAGAGUAUUGAAAAUGCUGAUGCCUGCUUAUCUUUGUGCGCACCUUGGUGGUGGAAGUCCUUGAGACUAGAAUAAAAAGCAGCAGAUGGAGAGAGUCUUGCAGCAGCACAACAGUCUUGAUUUGGCUGAAGGUGGUGGGAAUGAGCAGAAAAACAGCUCCAGAGCAGAAUCUUGAAGGCCAUGGUGCAUGGUGCCUUUUUGCUCCAUUAGCCAUGAAAUUAAUAUUAAAGUUUAACACCACCCUGUAUGAUAAUGACCUCUUAGAAGAACGUGCUAAACGUAUAUGACUGUAGUACUCAACUCUCUGCCAAAUCGUGUUAAACAUCACCCCAGUAUGGGAAACAAAUAUGGCUUAGGAUAUAAGGGAAAAUAUGUUGUGGGUAGCACAGUGGAGAAGAGGGAGAGAAGGAAAAUGAGACUGAAGGAGAGAAGAGAGCUAAGAGAGAGGUAGCUGUGUUCCUCUUCUUCCACCAAGAUAGGGAUACUUUUUUUCUAAGCAUUACAUCUCACCUCUUGCAGAAAACUACCUGAGAUAGCAUGUAUUUUGCUAGCAUUAUUAUCAUAUAGAUAUAUAGAUCAUAUAGAUACAGAUAUUCACACUAUUGGCAGCUAGUUCAUUUAUUGGUUGCAAUACCCAAUAUGCUAUGUCUAUCCCUUCCAUAAAUCAUCUGUUCUUUUUAAAUGUUUGUGAAAUUGUCCAGUGAAAGUCCUGAGGGGACUCUGUCACACAGGCAUUUGUUAAUCUGUCCCAUUAAAGUCAUGAAGGGACUCUGGCAGCUCUGGAAUACCAAAAUAGAGAUUGCAAACAAUUCAAAGCACAGAACUUUCAAUUUGCUUUUAUUUCAGCUUUAUAAAGAAGGUCAUUUUACACCAAUAACUUCAAAAAAUAAACAAAACCCAACCAAGUCAAAUAAGAAUCUUUCAACAAAUAACUUACAAUUGUUCUAAAACACUUUUCUUACUUUGCUUAUUUCAUUAUGUGGCAGAUAUUGUACAGAAGUGCCACAGAAAUGGUGGUACUGAGGUCUACUUAAGCAUCCUACACAACUUUAAGUUAAAUCCAAGCAGUUAAUAUUCAGAGCACUUUAAACACAUUAAACCAUAUAGGUAAUAUCACAGCCAAAAUGCAAAAAUAUCUAUUUUAUACACAAGUUUAAAAGCGCUUCAUGAAGUUGCAUGAAUUCUAACUUACAUCACAAGUUAUUUCAAAGGAUGCUUAUUGCAGAACACCUGCAUCAAGUAAAUUUACAAGAAACAACAUUAAUCUGAGGGCUGUGUAAAAUGGUUAGUAUAUUCAAGCUUAAGUCUUGGUUACAGUGAUGUCAGUAAAGUUUUUGCUACUGACUUCACUGAUGCGAAGAUCGCUGUUAUCCGCUCAUUUUUCUAUCAGAUAAAAGGUGUAAAGAUUUGCUGAAAGAGUUACAAAAUAGCUAAUUAAAAAUUAUUUCUAUGAGGCACGCGUGCAGUAAGAGGAUGAGUUAUAAAUUUCAAAACUACAGCCUUUAGUACUAUUCCAUGUGAAAGUCACAGACACUGCAGCCAAAGCAAAUGAGAACAGAGCAAACACCUCUGUUAAACAUUGCUGAGUUCCUUUUUAAGGCCAUGUUACUGUAUUCUAGGAAGAAAGACAUCCAUAUUUAUUCUUUUUGGUAUCAUUUCCCUAGUUGUAUGGUAGAUAUGUAGUAUCAUGUUUUAACCAAGUUAUUAAAAUGCUUUUCAAACCAAAUGUUUUUCCACAUAUGACUUGAUGCAUAACUACAGAUAAGCUCCAACAGCCAUGAUUUAAAGAUGUUUAAUAUACAUAUCUACAUAAAAUUUUUGAUAUUCAUGCAGUUAAGAUGUAUAGUGAUGAGUUUGACUUCUCAGUAUGAACAGACUCAGUGAAGUUACUAGUUUCAACUUGAGAAGCUGAAGAUACCUGGGUUUUAUUAAAAAUAGUAGCAGAAUACUUGACUGCUGAAGUGCAUCGCACCAAGGUCAUAUUUUUAUGUCAGACGUAAUUUGAUUAAAAACAAUUGAAACAGAGCUGAAUAUAAUGUUAUGGAAGCCUUUUAAGUUUUGUGUUUCGAAUCAGAAGUACAUUUGAGAAGCAUUAGCUGUAUUCACUUCAGUGUGGGUGAAAAGUUAACACGCUUCAGCCUUAUGCUAUUCACUAUCAACCAAAUCAAUUAGGUGUGUUUUUUGUUUUUGAUGAUGCUUUUUCUAUUAUACCUACGGUAUACCAACUGCAUUAGAUGGAUGUGAUAUACUUUCAGCUCACUAGAUAUGUGACACCUGUCCAGAACAAACCUUCGCAGUAUACCUAUGUACAUUCUCCCUGUUGGUAGUUACUAGCUUGGAAACACUAACCUACUAAUAUAGCUCUGAAUUUCUAGACCAAAAUUAACCUUUGUCUAGCCACAGUGAGCUGGUAUUGCAAGUAGUGGGAAUAGAUACAUUCCUCAUAACGAUGGGAUCUGAAGAAAUAAAUUGCUGAAAAUAGGCCAUGCAACUUACUUCUUUAACUGAAUGUAGCAAAGUGGUACACCUUGUAGGAUCAAACACUAAUUUGCUUAAAAAAAAUAAGGGAACUACAGGCUUUGUCAAUUUAUCUUUCAAUUCUGUUCACUAAAUGUAAGACAAAAAAUGUAAAAAUAAAUUUAAACCACUACAUGCAAAUUAAAAGCUCAAAAACUGAGAAUCCUUCUGGUAACUGUUCUUAUAACAGAAGUGUAUGAAUUUGAGACAUUUAGAAACAUUUAAGACUACAUCUGCAAAAUAAUAAGCACAAAAAUUUGCAGUAACAUGCAUCUUAAUUCUGAAAAGUUUUUGGAGGCAGAUGUGAAUUGGCUGCUCACUCUUUCAUGUUUCACAACAUCAGGAUGUUGAGAAUGAAACAUAGCCACAGAAUUCUUCACACUUAAGGUUCGCAGUUUCAUGAUUAACUACGUGAAUCUAAGCUGCCUUGCACUGUCUUGGCAACAAAAGUUAGAGCUGUGCCACCUCUGAUCAGACUUACAGUUUUCUCAUCCACCUUACCUCAUAAUCUGGAACAAAUUCACCAUCUGUGAAACUGCUUGUUACACCGUAUACUCAUCACAUUUUGUUCAUGGCAUUUCCAUGCAAUAAAUAUCUCCCACUGGCAAAGAGCUAAGACAAAUCUUCUUAAAAAUUUUACAAAUAUUGCUCCAACUCUAAACAUUCUUAGCUCAAACUUCACAUAUUCCCUUGAGCUUGCACAGUACAGAAAAAUAUUAUAAAUCAUGAACAAAACCAUGCAAAAAAAACCCAAAAAACCCAAAACCACCAAACUAACUUAUCUAAAUAAAAUAUAAACCAAAUAGAACACUAAAAUAAUAAUAUUAAAUACUAUCUUGUUUGGUGUCUCAAAUAACAUAGCAUCAAUAAUUUUCUUGUCUAUUCUUUUAAUGCCAAACUUGAGAUACAACAAAAUAAGCCUUUAUUUUCCACCUUCCUCAAAUCUUUUUUCUUCAGAUACCAAAAGAAGUCUGUGCUCUUAAGUGACAUUUAGAAUAUAUAUUCAUAGUUAGUGACUAAGUUUCAUAUUUCCUUGCAGACAGAAGAGUAACUCAAAUCCCCAGAUUUACCACAAUAACAUGGAAGAGAAUUAAUAAAAUAAGAAAAUGCUUUUAGAAUAUUCCCAUAAUGUUUUUAACAGAUUAUUUCUGGCUCAGUUUAAAUUGCAUGA